GAUGAAGAACGCAGCGAAAUGCGAUACGUAAUGUGAAUUGCAGAAUUCCGUGAAUCAUCGAAUCUUUGAACGCACAUUGCGCCCCCUGGCAUUCCGGGGGGCAUGCCUGUCCGAGCGUCAUUUCUGCCCUCCAGCCCGGCUGGGUGUUGGGCGCUGUCCCCCCGGGGACACGCCCCAAAGGCAGUGGCGGCGCCGCGUCGGGUCCUCGAGCGUAUGGGGCUUUGUCACCCGCUCGGGACGGACUCGUCGGCGCUGGUCUUCCUACAGGCGACCCUUCGGGGCUCGUCUUCCUUCGGUUGACCUCGGAUCAGGUAGGGUUACCCGCUGAACUUAAGCAUAUCAAUAAGCGGAGGA
RNAcentral lists this unclassified non-coding RNA (354 nucleotides) under soil metagenome. RNAcentral describes it as "partial contains 5.8S ribosomal RNA, internal transcribed spacer 2, and large subunit ribosomal RNA". The stretch from base 1 to 120 matches the Rfam family "5.8S ribosomal RNA", at positions 35 to 154 of the family's 154-position model. The record is from RNAcentral.